UUGUGAAUAUAUAUCUCAGUAGUUGGGACUGAAGUAGAGUCCUGCAGCGGGUUGGGUACCUGCAAAAAAAGCGGGCACCCUGUGGAAUGAGAGGAGGAUUUUCAGAUGGAGUAAACUAUGUUACAGAGUGAAAGGAUGGGACAUGGAGAUCCAUGUGGGUCAAAUGUGUAGAAUAGAUGUGUAAUGAUGGAGAAGCUAGCCGAUGAAGGUGCAGAUAAACUCAUCGUCUGGCCAUGGACAUCAGAGCUCUCAGGAAGAACUGCAAACAGUUUCAAUCUGGU
This is a long non-coding RNA of Xenopus laevis (African clawed frog), 281 nucleotides long. RefSeq lists it as uncharacterized. The transcript is spliced from 3 exons. The record is from RefSeq and is a predicted model, not a curated record. Lineage: Eukaryota; Metazoa; Chordata; Amphibia; Anura; Pipidae.